AAGUGGGAGGAUGGAGAGCAAUCACAGUCAGUUGCAGCAGUGAAAGUGAAGAAGAUGACGUUGAAGAGAAGGAAAAGAGCCAUGGAGGAUGAGGAAGAAGUAGAUGCCAUUGGCAAAUGGCCCAAAUGGGAUGAUGAAUCGAUCGAAUUGUUGUGUAAGUUGAAUUGGGAUGAUUUUCAUGGGAAGAUUUGAUGGUUAUUUAUAGUGUUAAUUUAGAAAUUAAAAAAAUAGACCAAUGAUCGAUGAGAUUGAAAUCAUUCAAGGCAGCAUGUGAAGUUUGGGGGAAGGGAAAAAGAAACCUAAUUGAUUAUGAAUUUAUUAGAGGAUAAAGCCAUAAUCGACCGAUGAUUUGAUGGCAGGGGAUUGGAGUCAUAUGUACGUAGUGGAAAAUAAUUCUGAGAUCGAAAAUCAAUUUGCAUGAUUAUUAAUGUCUAUUGAUUAGGGCCUAAUUAAUUACUUAAUUAAUAUUGAUUUAAUUUGGACUUUUCGUUCAAGCUUGUUAAUUGCCACCUUUUUCUUAAUUUCUGUGUUGUUUUUAUUAGGUGUACAAAUAAAAGAACACAUGAAAUUUAAUAUGUAAUUAUAAAAUGAUCCCAUUAUUUCAAUUUUGAUUGUUAUGGAGGAAGGUGCAAAUACUAUAUCAAAAACAUAUACAAACAAUUAAUUAAUCCAAAGAUACUGUAUUUGCAAAAGAGAACAGACGUACUCAUUUGUAUUAGAAUUUACAUUUCCAACUAUUAAAAUAUAUACAUUUUAAUAUCAUAUUUUUCGAUUUUUUUCAAUAACUCUUCUUUCGAAUUUUGAUUGAUUUGAUUAAUGUGUUGUGAGUAAGGGUGAUAUCGGAGCGCUUCGCGGACAGACAGCCUUGUCACGGUAUCUGUUCCCAUUUUGCCAGAGCGGGGCUGAUCAGGUACCUUGAUUUUUGUCCCGAACUCAGUGACCGGGGCACAACCCAAUUGGAAUUAUAAAAAAAUAAUUUAAAAAGUAAACUUAUAUCUAAUAUAAUUUAUUUUAUUUUAUUUUAAAAAAUUAAAAAUUAUAUUUUUUUAAACCACGACCCGGGUUUACCCUAUAACCGGGGCAACAAAGUAAGAGGCAAAAAAAAUAAAAAACAAAGCAGAAUAUUUGUCCCACCCUCGGUUACCACUGAGACGAGCCCACUCUGUUCUCAUCCCUACUUGUGAGUCACAAUCGAUUUAAGAUUUUAAUGCUGUGAGAGUCAGAAAAUAACUUUAAUGAAAAUGUGGCAAUUUUUUCAAUGAAUAUGUAUAUAUUUUACACGAUAUAUAUAUACAUAUUCAAUUUUAUCGGUAAGCAAAUUUUUUAAAAUUACCAGAUAUCAUCAUGAUCGAUUUUUCUUAUCUAAUUGUUCAUUUAAGACCGAAUGGAUGGUUCAGAUUAGAGGAUUUUAAAAAAAAGUUGAAUCUCUUUCAAAAAAAUAUCCUCUAAAAUAAUAAAUAAAUCGAAUUUGAAUAUUUAGAUAUUAAACAAAUUCAAAUAUUUUGUUAUCUGGUUCUCAAUGUCUCAUUAACAAAAAUGAAAAAUAUAUAUAAUAAUAUUCGAACUUUGAAUUUUUCAAAAACUUUAAUAAUCUACUUAAAACUUUAUUUUUGAAUGAGUUUAGUGUAUAUAUAACUAGUUCUUAUAAUAACUUGUUUUGAUCAAUUUACUUCCAUUCCCAAUUUGGGGUUGAACUUUGAAUUCUCUACCUAUGUAAGUGUUGGUACCAGGGCCCGUCCAAACGGAUCCUGCACCGAACAGGCCUGUUAGGCCCAAGGUUAUAGGUUAUGAAUACCUCAUCAAGUGCAAUGGGGAGGAGGAUCGAUUAUUAGUGAGAGCGACACUAGAGAGUUGUGUAUGUAAGCAUCCUAACGCGAGCCCACACACCAUCAGUAAGAUUGAAAAAUCUAAUUUUCUCCCAAUUAGGAUAAUAUUUAGAAUCUAAAGACAUGUUCGGUGUUCAAUUGUGUGUCUAUCAAACGGAAUUCAAUACAAGAAUAAAACUAAUUGAACAAUCCAAUUAAAAGCAUCACUUUAUUAAAUCUUAAUGACUCAGUUCACAAAGAAGUAGAUGAUUAACUAACAUUAACAACCUUAAUUGUUUAACCAACAACUAAAACAAAAACAAUUGCUAAUACAAUAAAUUGUUAAUUCAUGAUAAUUAGAAGUAUUUUUUUUAAUUAAAAUCAACUGAUAAUAUAUAAAUUUCAAAAAAAAUAAAAAAAAAGUAUGAUCACAUGCGAUCCACCUCGCACGCUCCUCAUUGAUCCAACCAAGUGAUUUUACGAUCGUUUAGGUCUUUAACAAUCUUUGGAGACUGAUUUGAUAUUUUUAAAACGUACUAUGUCUCAUCGUUCUCGCGUAGCGGGUCUUGGACAAUGAGGGUGAAAAAACCCUGGUGUGUUUCUGACAUAUUUUUCUUUUUUCUAUGGAAAACUAUAUCAUCACCUUUAGAUCAAUUACAUGUAAGUGAUUAAUUAUAUCGUUUCUACUUUCAAAGAAAGUCUUUCUUUUAAAAGAUAGAUUUUCUUAUGGAUAUUACUUUUUGGAUCAUUUCAUUUUCCACAUUUCUACCUUUUAUGUUUUUUGAUGAGUCAGAAUUUUAUUUGUUGAAUUUCAACUCACUAUUAGUCUAGAUAUUGUAGUUUUUUAAUACAAGUUCUUAUCGAAUUUAAAUUACAAGUAGAUUUUUAACCCACCAUUAGCCAUGAUUAGAAGUAACUUCUUCUAACAUAGUAAACAAAUCUGGGUGUUUAAGUGUUUAGUCAGUUGAGUAGUUAAGUUUGAAGUUUUGUCUAUUACUUUUCCCAAAGAUGGUCCAAGCAAUCCAGUUUCAAUGAAAACUAUUUGUCGUGUGAUUUUUUUCCCAAUGAAGACAUGACAACUUUAAAGUUUCCCUGCGUCCAAACAAAGCGAUAUCAUCACAUAUCAAAUCAUUCGUUAAAAAGAUCUAUCACCAGUUAAAUUAUGAUUGAAAUCAACUACAACUUUAAUAACUAAAAUGAUUUGGAUUACUCCGGGGAAUUUCGGACUUUUGUUCCUCCUCCGACCACCGUCUCUCUAGUGCUAUUAUCAAAGAGAAAGCGAAUGAGCACUCACUACCAAUAGAAUAAGAGUCCACUACUUAGUGAAAGAAGAUUGGUGAUUACAGAGUAAGAAAGAAAAAUGUUGCCGCUCCUCCUCCUCUUCUUCGUCUCCCUUCUUCAUCAACAUGAUGGCCCGGCUGUCUCUGCGCAGAGAAAAUCUUCUAUUUGGAGGACUGUAGACGGUACGUAGGUUGAUUCUUUUAAUUUGUUCAAGCAGGAAGAAUAGGUAACUAUGUAUUAUUUCAACUUCUUUUAAUGAUCGGAACAGGAAGGGCACCGAAGGUGAUAGCCCGGGGGGGAUUUUCAGGGCUGUUCCCUGAUUCCGGCCGUCGAGCUUAUACUCUGGGAGCAACACUAGUUCCCAAGGGUUUAAUUUCAUGGUGUGAUGUAAAACUCACCAAGGAUAAUUUGGGGAUUUGCACUCCUUUCAUAGAGAUAAGCAACUCUACGACGAUUGCUAGCGUUGGGUUAAAUUCGACCAACGUCACUCUCGAAGAAGGCGCACCUCCAGUAUUUGGAUAUUUUCCGUUCAAGUACACUCUCCAUGAAAUGGAGAACGUCACCUGUAAGUUUCGUCUCUGUCGAUCUUUGUCUUUUUCGUUUUCAUUAAUCGGAGUUUAUCGAUCAGUGGUGCAAGGGCUGUUUGUGCGAACCGGUCGAUUCGACGGUCAGGAUCGGAUCACAGAUGUUACCGGUGUUCUUCCGACAUUGAAUUUGUCGAGUAUCUGGUUGAAUAUCAAGCAUGAUAAGUUGUAUCAACGGUACAAUCUCAGCACGUCACGGUUUCUGAGCACGGCGAUGGAAUCCGUCGCCGUCGACUACGUAUCGUCUCCUGAAAUCAAGUUUCUGAAGAAGAUCGCGCCGGAGUACGGUAACAAGACCAAGCUCGUGUUCCAGUUCGUCGAACCAAGCAGUAAUGUCGAACCUUACACGAAACAAACCUACGAGUCGCUUCUGCGGAAUCUGACAUUUGUGAAGACUUUUGCUUCUGGGAUCCUCGUACCGAACAAGUACAUAUUACCGGUAGAUUCCGACAACUAUCUACUGAACAGCACUUCCGUCGUCUCAGAUGCUCAUGAGAUCGGUCUGGAGGUUUAUGCGUCCGGAUUUGCAAAUGAUAAUCUAUUCCCUUAUGACUAUAAUUAUAACCCUGUUUCCGAAUACCUUGCAUACGCGGAUAAUGGCGAUUUCUCCGUCGACGGUUUUCUCACCGAUUUUCCGGCAACGGCAGCAGAAGCCAUAGUUUGCUUUCCCCACAUAAAGAGCAGGGUCGUCGGGGAGAAAAUUCCAUUGGUUAUAUCGCACAACGGUGCAAGUGGAAUAUACCCGGAUUGCACUGAUUUGUCCUACAAACAAGCCAUUGAUGACCGGACUGAUAUAAUCGACUGUCCGGUGCAGGUGACGGAGGACGGUGUGCUUAUAUGCAUGAGUUCAAUGAAUCUGGUCGCCACAACCACCGUUACCACGUCGGAAUUUUCAACUCGUACAUUUACCAUCCCUGAGGUCGAAGAUGGAAUCGGAAUUUACUCGUUCAAUCUGAGUUGGAGCCAAAUCCAAACAUUGAAACCCAAAAUAUCAAACCCUUACUUCCAUCAUUACCAGAUAAAACGGAAUCCCAAGAACGAAAACAGUGGAAGUUUCGUGACUCUCUCCGAUUUUCUCAACCUCACCGCCAACCCCAAUGUGCCUCGAAUCCUUAUCUCCGUUCAGGUACGUGCUCGGAACUGGUAAUAAAUAAGAAUCACCCGUCGUCAUCGAUCGUUUUAAUUGUCUGAAUUUCAGAAUGCGCCGCUUCUGGCAGAGAUAUUAGGGUAUGAUAUGAUCGACCCAAUAAUCCAAAGUUUGAAGAAAAGCAGAAUUGGCAAAGAUAAAAUUCAGAUCAUGUCGGAAAACAGCUCUGUUCUGAGCGUAUUCAAGCAAAAGACGAACUACACCCUUGUGUACAAGGUCGACGAGAUAAUCUCCAACGCCGACGAGUCAUCCAUCAGCAACAUAAAGAAAUUCGCUAGCGUGGUCGCUUUACGCAAAAACUCGAUAUUUCCCCAAUCUCUAGGGUUCAUAACCUUGCAAACUAAGGUUGUGAAAACACUUCACUCUGCAAACAUCUCCGUCUACGUGUUUCUCGUUCGAAACGAAUUCGUAUCCAGACCAUUUGAUUUCUUCUCCGACGCUAUCAUAGAGAUUUACAACUACGUUCAAGGGGCUUCGGUCGACGGUAUCAUCACUGAUUUUCCAGGAACGGCGACUUCGUACAAAAGUCAGUGACCUCAUCAUUUCAUGCAUGUUUCUUCUACUCAUCAUCAUCAUCUCAACUGUGCCGUUUAAUUUGUUGUUGCUGCAGGAAAUCGAUGUCUGAACAGAGAUAACUACCGGAUCCCACUUAUUCCGCCUGGUUUUCUUUUACCUGCUAUUCCGUCCCUUGCACAGCCACCAGUGAUAGCUCCAUAUCCAACCUUAACAUCCCGUGACGUGAUUGAAUCACCCAUGCCUCCUCCGACAUUACAUGCAUCACCGCCUCCAUUGGCACAACUGGUGCCGUCAAGUUCCGGUCAACCUAGUUCGUCUUCAUUGUUGCUAAUUUUCAUGUACAUCUCCUCUCUAAUGCUCGUCCAGGAAACCAACAACACGAUUUGAAGUUUGAACACGAAUAAAAUUAUAUGUAAAUGGAGUUGCAAACACCAAUUAUGAUUUAUAUUAUAUUUUAUAUCAUGGAUUUAUGAUAUAUUUAUUGAUCUCGCAUUAUAAAUACAACACACAAGAAUAGAAUAAAAUAAAAUAAAAUAAAAUAAUGCAAUGUAGCUCAAGGGAUUGAAGAAACUUCAUGGGCAUUGGAAUCCACUGGGGACGCUCUUGCCGCAGUAGUUCAGAAGAAGGCUUAGUGAGACGGGGAGGUUUAGAUGGAGUCCAAGAACAUUGGCUUUUAUUGCAGUGCAAAGACAAACGGCGGCCUCUAGAUCGACCAGUCCCUCGAUCAAUGGGCAGCAUGGUGUCUUCAGUGGAGCGCCAGCCUUGGCGUGGAUCAGUCCAUGUAACACAUCAGCGCAAACACCGAACUUCAGAGCGUCUUUUGGGCACUUGGCUACAGUAGUACUGCUGGAACCAGAUUUGGGGCAUGGUUUUUUCUUGUGAACGGGAGGGAGUGGAGAGCAAUUUCUGCUACUAGCGGUCGUGAGGGUGAGGAAGAUGACGUUGAAGAGGAGGAAAAGAGCCAUGGAAGAUGAAGAAGAAGUGGAUGCCAUUGCCAAAUGAGAUCGAGCUUAGCUAGUCUGAUCUGAUCGAUUGAGGUGGCUGUUGGUGUGAUUUUUAUGGGGAAGGAAGAUGGGUACGUACGUAUUUAUAAUAGCCAUAACAAAUUUACAGACCUAGCUUUGGCCUUCAAAUCAGCUUAGUAUGUGAGGAGAGGUUAAGGAGAAACGACAUGAGAGUUGUAGCUGG
Molecule: long non-coding RNA, 6521 nt
Filed under: Zostera marina
Lineage: Eukaryota; Viridiplantae; Streptophyta; Magnoliopsida; Alismatales; Zosteraceae
Description: long non-coding RNA (ZMAR_LNC001122)
Source: RNAcentral